CAACCAUUAGGUGGUGAGGGAUGAUGAUGGAGGAACCAAGGAUAACUCCUGACCAGAAGCCUUUUUUACCCCCAUUUUGCAGAGUUCCACAAUCUCUGCCAGAAACUCUGGAACUUGAGUACUACCAGAAAGAAACAAAAUGUGGAUAGACCUUGACAAACUGGAGCAGGUUCUGAGGAUCUGACCAUGUUGGUGUGAGUCUGAAGAUGCCAUCACGGGGAGAAUAGGGGGAAAGGAUCACCAUGACUGAAGGAAGCAACAUGUACUUUGAGCAUAAGAAAAAAAAAACGAGAAAAGGCUGGAAUUUAAAAGGAGGAUGGAAUAAGAAUGGGUGAGCUUCCUAGGGGUUUACAUAAUUAAAUGUGUAAGAAGUGGCCCCAGAACACAAGUUACAGUUGCCCUGAAUAAGGACUUUGCCCUACUCAUUUUUGUCUCUCAAGCAAAUAACACUGUGUUUGAUAUAUAUGAGCUCCAAAUGUUUAUUGAAUAUAUGAGGGAGGAAUUAAAAUAAUAUCUAAAUUGGCCCAAGAACAGAUCUUCUGUUCUGAUUAUAGAAAAAUAAAAUAAAAUUCUGAAACCUUAUUUGAUUUUUG
RNAcentral lists this long non-coding RNA (593 nucleotides) under Sus scrofa (pig). RNAcentral describes it as "lncRNA (ENSSSCG00070023689.1)". The record is from RNAcentral. Lineage: Eukaryota; Metazoa; Chordata; Mammalia; Artiodactyla; Suidae.